This 338-nucleotide long non-coding RNA is filed under the name Citrus x clementina. Its description in RNAcentral is "Citrus clementina (C. clementina) long non-coding RNA (CCLE_LNC001485)". Lineage: Eukaryota; Viridiplantae; Streptophyta; Magnoliopsida; Sapindales; Rutaceae. The record is from RNAcentral.
UCGCUAAUCAUAACUUUUUGCAAUAUUUCAUUUGUUGCAACUGAUUCAAGUGUUUGUUGUGGAAAAACUUGAGCAACGAAACAUAUUUUGCCUUCAUUAAGCUUGUUAGGCAACAAGAACACUUUUGUUGCCAAACAUAACGUAGGGCAAGAAAAUAUUUUGUUGCCAUAUAUUCUAAUUUUCUUGCCUAUUCCACAUCAUUAAGAAGAAUAAAAUCUGUUUAGCUAUAGCGAUAAAGACUAAUUUUUGUUGCAAGAUAUGAAUUUUAGCAAUAAAGUAAGUUUUGUUGCAAUAGAAUUUGUAGCCAAUACUCUAUUUUCUUGUGGUGGGUAUAGAUA